GAUGAACGCUGGCGGCGUGCCUAAUACAUGCGAGUCGAGCGAACGGACGAGAAGCUUGCUUUUCUGAUGUUAGCGGCGGACGGGUGAGUAACACGUGGAUAACCUACCUAUAAGACUGGGAUAACUUCGGGAAACCGGAGCUAAUACCGGAUAAUAUUUUGAACCGCAUGGUUCAAAAGUGAAAGACGGUCUUGCUGUCACUUAUAGAUGGAUCCGCGCUGCAUUAGCUAGUUGGUAAGGUAACGGCUUACCAAGGCAACGAUGCAUAGCCGACCUGAGAGGGUGAUCGGCCACACUGGAACUGAGACACGGUCCAGACUCCUACGGGAGGCAGCAGUAGGGAAUCUUCCGCAAUGGGCGAAAGCCUGACGGAGCAACGCCGCGUGAGCGAUGAAGGUCUUCGGAUCGUAAAACUCUGUUAUUAGGGAAGAACAUAUGUGUAAGUAACUGUGCACAUCUUGACGGUACCUAAUCAGAAAGCCACGGCUAACUACGUG
RNAcentral lists this ribosomal RNA (497 nucleotides) under uncultured bacterium. RNAcentral describes it as "partial 16S ribosomal RNA". It matches the Rfam family "Bacterial small subunit ribosomal RNA", at positions 28 to 507 of the family's 1533-position model. The record is from RNAcentral.